Cavia aperea (Brazilian guinea pig) is the source of this 303-nucleotide unclassified non-coding RNA. Its record names the gene 7SK. It matches the Rfam family "7SK RNA". Rfam says of the family: 7SK was discovered as an abundant small nuclear RNA in the mid-70s but a possible function has only recently been suggested. Two independent studies have found that 7SK RNA binds the CDK9/cyclin T complex (known as elongation factor P-TEFb). P-TEFb activates transcription by phosphorylating the C-terminal domain of RNA polymerase II. The record is from Ensembl. Lineage: Eukaryota; Metazoa; Chordata; Mammalia; Rodentia; Caviidae.
GGAUGUGAGGGUGACCCCGCUGCAACAUGUGUCACCCCAUUGAUCUCCAGGGUUGAUUUGGCUGAUCUGGCUGGCUAGGCGGGUGUCCUCGUCCUCCCUCAGCGAUCCAUGUGCAGCCCGCCUGAAGCUGCACGCUUGGUCAAAGAAGAUGAUCACCCCAAUAGAGGAGGACCAUUCCUCCAUCAAGGGUAUACCAGUAGCUGCGGAACCUACAAACAAGCUCUCAAGAUGUGUUAUGUACAUGUAUGAAACACGCAUAGAAUGCAAACAUUAUGUACUGCAAACACAUACUAAUAAAAAUUA